RNAcentral lists this ribosomal RNA (468 nucleotides) under uncultured bacterium. Its description in RNAcentral is "partial 16S ribosomal RNA". It matches the Rfam family "Bacterial small subunit ribosomal RNA", at positions 28 to 507 of the family's 1533-position model. The record is from RNAcentral.
GACGAACGCUGGCGGCGUGCUUAACACAUGCAAGUCGAACGGAAAGGCCCUGCUUUUGUGGGGUGCUCGAGUGGCGAACGGGUGAGUAACACGUGAGUAACCUGCCCUUGACUUUGGGAUAACUUCAGGAAACUGGGGCUAAUAUCGGAUAGGAGCUCCUGCUGCAUGGUGGGGGUUGGAAAGUUUCGGCGGUUGGGGAUGGACUCGCGGCUUAUCAGCUUGUUGGUGGGGUAGUGGCUUACCAAGGCUUUGACGGGUAGCUGGCCUGAGAGGGUGACCGGGCACAUUGGGACUGAGAUACGGCCCAGUCUCCUACGGGAGGCAGCAGUCGGGAAUAUGGCACAGUGGGCGGGAGCCUGAUGCAGAGACGCCGGGUGCGGGAUGACGGCCUUCGGGUUGUAAACCGCUUUAGCCUGUGACGAAGCGUGAGUGACGGUAAUGGAUAAAGAAGCACCGGCUAACUACGUG